GAAUUAGCAGGGAAUGAAGCCCCUGUUGAGCUUGACUCUAGUCUAGCAUGGUGAAGAGACAUGAGAACACUGCAAUAAGUAGAAGACCUGUGAUGCUCUCUGGUUCCCUGGGAGGGGUCAGGGUGAGGUCCACCAGCCUCACAGACUACAGUGAAAUGCUACUUCUCAUCAUUUUCCACUGACCCAGGGAGAUAGGGGUGGCUUGAGCCAUGAGUGGUUCUCACUUCUGGCACCAAGUGUCUGUCACACAUAUUGUAUGCUAUGGCCCAUUCUGGGAACAGUGCCAUGUUCAUAGUUUGACUAGGGAGUUACACUUGUCAAACAGUAAUGCAGGUGUCCUACAGCGAACUCACAGAUGACAGAAACUAUCCUUAAAGGCUGCUCUACCAUGAUUUUCAUUACACAUACCAACCAUGAAUGCAGGGCAUUAAAAUCCUUCUGAAUUUUUGGUUUUUAAGUAGGAAUUGUCAGAAAAGUGACCACAGGAAUAACUGCCUUCUGGAAGGAAAAUGUUCAGGUGACAUAGUUUUAUUGACCCUGCAAUGUCUGCUGUUCUUGUGAUUUUGAAGCAGGAUUCACCUAGGGUUGGAUUGUUGACCCAGUAAUAGGGAAUGUGAGCUGGAUUAGAACAUCAUGAGACAGAUUCGUUUUACCUACUGAUUAUGUGCAUUUUGCCUUUGAAUUCUGCUCAGUAUGAGAGGAACAAUAUGUUCAGACAUUUGGAGUGUAUGCUCCACUGAGAAGACAAUGAGCAAGACUACCACUUGUAGAAUUAUGACUUAAGGCCCCUAAGUUGAUAUUCCACCGAUGCAGGGCUGUAAAAUGGAGCCAAAGACCCUCAGUUAGCCCUGGAUAGCCAGGUCUGGUCUAUACCUGCUGGAGGUGCCAUCGCAUUCCCACAAAGUGGUGGGUCCCUGUUGUGUUGGGGCACAGGUGUCCAGUGUGGAAAGACACUCAUCCUCUGAAACAUCGUGUGCUAGAAAGGAGACAGACCUUUCAUCCAUCAUGCUAAUGUGUGUGUAGAAUCUGGAGCUAAAUCAUUCCAAGAUGACCUGCUUCUGUGACGGGGAUUCAUAUAUAGCAGAACAGUUCGCUUACUUUGUCUCUUGAAAGUCAAUCGUCAACACAAGGUUU
This 1134-nucleotide non-coding RNA is filed under the name Rattus norvegicus (Norway rat). RNAcentral's name for it is "Eukaryotic large subunit ribosomal RNA". It matches the Rfam family "Eukaryotic large subunit ribosomal RNA", at positions 2389 to 3401 of the family's 3401-position model. The record is from Rfam by way of RNAcentral. Lineage: Eukaryota; Metazoa; Chordata; Mammalia; Rodentia; Muridae.